AUACGUAGGUGGCAAGCGUUGUCCGGAAUUAUUGGGCGUAAAGCGCGCGCAGGUGGUUCCUUAAGUCUGAUGUGAAAGCCCCCGGCUCAACCGGGGAGGGUCAUUGGAAACUGGGGAACUUGAGUGCGGAAGAGGAUAGUGGAAUUCCAAGUGUAGCGGUGAAAUGCGUAGAGAUUUGGAGGAACACCAGUGGCGAAGGCGACUGUCUGGUCUGUAACUGACACUGAGGCGCGAAAGCGUGGGGAGCAAACAGGAUUAGAUACCCUGGUAGUCCACGCCGUAAACGAUGAGUGCUAAGUGUUGGGGGGUUUCCGCCCCUCAGUGCUGCAGCUAACGCAUUAAGCACUCCGCCUGGGGAGUACGGUCGCAAGACUGAAACUCAAAGGAAUUGACGGGG
RNAcentral lists this ribosomal RNA (397 nucleotides) under uncultured bacterium. RNAcentral's name for it is "partial 16S ribosomal RNA". It matches the Rfam family "Bacterial small subunit ribosomal RNA", at positions 523 to 918 of the family's 1533-position model. The record is from RNAcentral.